UUGGUUAAUAAAACAUGAAACCUGUGCUCGCUUAAUGUUAGUUUAGCUUUAAUUUUAUGUGUUUCAUUUUCCUGUUUGCAGAUAUAUUAAAAUUUAAAGAAUAGUUUUACAAUCAUUUGUUGGAUGUGUUUGUUUUUUCCUGAACAGUUUGCUGCAGCAACUCUUCUGCAUGUUAUGGUAAUUGAACUGUGCAGGUGCUGCUGCGACUGGUGCAUGGAUGUACGGCUCCUGAAUGACUGGUUCCAGCCUGAACACCUGCCUUCUAUAUAAAGCCUGGAGCGCUUCACACGCUUCCCCUAACAGCUGAUCAGCUGGGUGAGCUGCCGUUACUUUGAACACAUCGAUUUCUCCUGUUUUUGGACAGGAGGUCAGACUCUGUCUUUAUUUUGGUUCCUUUCCUCUGUGAGCUCAUGUAUGUUGGCAUCUAUCAGACCUCAGCUUUGUUUGAUUUACUAUUUUGGCCUCGGCUCACCCUGAUGUGUUGACACUCCUGUUCUGUUGUUUUUCCCUCAUUACUUUGUAAAUAAAUACCAUGUAAUGACCAGUGAUUGUUUCCUGUGGCUGCGUGGGUGUUGGUGGGGAGCAAGUGCCUCAUCCAUGCCAUCUCCUGGCCCGCAGACGGGUUGUAACAAUAGGGACUAGACAGGAGAGCGCUGAGAGUGUUUGUGUACUUACGUAGUUUGUUUUUCUAAAAGUAACCUUGUACUUUUACUCCUCACAUUUUCAAAAACAGGCUCAUUACUUUGCAUUCAAGAGGAGUUAUUAUUUGUUAGUGCGAGCCUCCAAACAUCAAACUGAUUCAAGUCUAAACAGUAACACAUGCAUGGCAGUCCUGUUGUGUAAUCGUCACCAGAGGAUGAUGCAUGAAAGAGCUGAAGUGUGUCAAAGUCAGGGGUUAAAACUGGGCUUCAUGAGCUGCAGGGCUUCAGCAUCUAGUUAGCCCCACAGAAGACGAGCGAACAUAAAGGGAGUAAUGUGUUACUGAAGGUCAUUUCAAAUGCAGCAUUUCUGCAAACACACAAAUUGUUUGUGCGCAGUUUGUGUAACAGUGUGUUGCAGCUAAAGGUCCAGCUGCUUAUUUGACAGGGAGAGAAAAGAAAGAGCUAACUUCACUCAGACAGACAGAUAAGACAGACGGGACAUGGCAGGAAGAAGAGAGCUUACAUUUAAAGGUGUGUCCAUCCACAGAGAGCAGCAGGUCAGCUGAUCACAGCCUGCACACUAAGAACAGCUGCUGGAGCUCUCAGGAGAAAUGAUUGCAAAGUCCCCUCUACAACGGAGGCAACAGCAAGUAGAUUUGAUUUGAUUUUCCUUUUUCUUCAGACUCAAGCUGAGUAUAAUUAGAAGCAAAGAUAGACUAAAGUUUGUUCCCCUCUACUGAUAUUAUUCUAUCAUUAUGUUCAUAUAGCACAGGGUUCAGUCAGCUUUGGACAAAAUAGAAGCGUCCUCCUUUACUUCCUUACUUUGAGCACAUUUAGAGCCUUUACUUUUUUUUAUUCGAGUAAAUAAGUUGAAUCAGUACUGUGACUUUUACUGGAGUAGUUUUUACUAGUAGUAUCUGCACUUCUACUCGAGUACAGACAAUCUAAACCACCCUCUGGUUUUUUAUCUAAUUAGGACAUUGUCACGGGUUCAACCAAAAUAACAACUGGUCCGGCCGGGUCAAGUCAAACGAUGAUUUUAAUGCACACAUGUGGGAGAUGAACACUGCACGCAGACAGCAUAAGAUCUCUCACCGAAAACCACACAACAAUAGUUUUUAUGAACAUCAGGGUAUUAGAACGCCCCCUCAUGUGUAAAGUAGGUACAAUACAAUCAAUGUUGACAA
Long non-coding RNA from Oreochromis niloticus (Nile tilapia), 1828 nucleotides. RefSeq lists it as uncharacterized. The transcript has 3 exons. The record is from RefSeq and is a predicted model, not a curated record. Lineage: Eukaryota; Metazoa; Chordata; Actinopteri; Cichliformes; Cichlidae.